Molecule: long non-coding RNA, 1843 nt
Organism: Globicephala melas (long-finned pilot whale)
Lineage: Eukaryota; Metazoa; Chordata; Mammalia; Artiodactyla; Delphinidae
Source: RefSeq, a predicted model, not a curated record
GCUGAGCGGCCGAUCCCAGCUCCAGGCCGGGGCGGGGUUCCGAGGCACUAGCCGACCUGCUGCGGGGGAACUGGACCCUACCUUGGCUCGGGGCCCCGCUGCGCACCUGUGCACGUAGAGCUGUGGAGGCGGAAGGCUGUGUGUUGUAGCUAUUGAGAGUUUUGCAGGCAGACGGCCCCGUGAUGAGGCUUCUCGGCUCUGCUUCCUCGGGCUGCAGCCCCCUAGGGUUCUGCUCCCCCUGCCUGUGUGUGGGGCUUAGGGCUGCCGCCUGCAGUAAUGCUGAAGCCCCCGGCCCAUCCCACAGGGCCAGAUGGACUAGAGGAGGGGGCGAGCCGCCAGAGGGCUGAAAGGAAGGCCAGCAGGAACCCUCCUGGCCACGGGGGCCGUGAAACAGAUGUCAAUCCCAUCCCAGAGCAACGGGAUGUCAAGCAUCACAUCCCAUCGGUGUGUGAUGAGCCAAACACAUGGGCCGCGGUGAGUCAGUUGGGCCCCGCUCUGACCAGACGCUCCCUCCACAGCCCCGCACCCACCUCACUCCUGCUCUUCUGCGGGACCCCGGACCCCGGGUGUGCUGGGGAGUCCCAGGCACAGCUGUGUGCCGGGUGGGAGCAGGGCUUGCAGGCUCUCGUGCCGUUUGUGCACCAACGUCUUUAAUGCUACCCUAAACACCAGUAGAGAGUUUCUAGGGGACAGUGAAACAGCUCCUUGCCCUCUGUCCCAGAACAAAGUGCUCAAGAAAUGCUUGUUGAAUGGAUGAAUAAACUCCACUUAUGGAACAAGAAGCUGAGAUCUCCAAAGGGAACCCGGUUUAGUUACUUAUGGGAAUCUAGAAGCAGGAUAGGGCUAGCGUGGAAGGGGAAAGCUCUUUUUUUUUUUAAUUUACUUUCCUCACACAGGAAGGCUGAAGUGGCUACAGUGUGGGUUUUAAAUACUAUGUUCCUCUUUCUUCCAGGCACUUAUGUACUUUCUUGACAGUUAAAAGAAAUUAAUUAAUUAAUUAAUUUUGGGCUGCGUUUGGUCUUCGUUGCUGCGCGUGGGCUUUCUUUAGUUGUGGCGAGCAGGGGCUGCUCUUUGUUGCGGUGCGUGGGCUUCUCAUUUCUGUGGCUUCUCUUGUUGCAGAGCACAGGCUGUAGGCGUGCAGGCUUCAGCAGUUGUGGCUCGCGGGCUCUGGAGCGCAGGCUCAGUAGCUGUGGCUCACGGGCUUAGCUGCUCUGCAGCAUGUGGGAUCUUCCUGGACCGGGGAUAGAACCCACAUCCCCUGCAUCGGCAGGAGGAUUCUUAACUACUGCGCCACCAGGGAAGCCCCGGGAAAGCUCAUUUUAACACACCUUCCUUCCCCUAAUGACCUCCACUCUCCUCUACUGCCCAAAGGGUAGAGGAUAAGAUACGCUCAUUAAUGCUCUGAUAUGAACAGUGGAAGGCUGGCCGGCAACUUUUCCCCCCUGCCCCCAGCCUGUCUUCUGCCCCUCAGCCCUCUGCCUUGAUUGCCUCAGGUGGGCUCAGUUUGUCAGAGAUCCAGAGCCCAGGCCCUCUGGGUUUUCCUUUCCCGUGGUAUUUGGCUGAGCCUCUCCUGAGGCCAGUGGGCAAGUAUGUGGCAUCUGUGUCCACAUAACUCGUGGCACCAUCUUGGGCUGCAAUGUUUCUAUCUGUUGCUUCACAUCUCCAGUUUCUGGAUCAUUUGGGGUGGAGGUGAGGAUUGAACUCUUCCUUUUUCUUCAACACACGCACACAUGCAAACACACACACAUACAGAUGCAAACACACACACAUGCAAACACACACAUGCAAACACACACAGGCACACACACAGACACACACAUGCAAACACAUACACAUGCAAACA